Molecule: transfer RNA, 72 nt
Filed under: Bos taurus (domestic cattle)
Lineage: Eukaryota; Metazoa; Chordata; Mammalia; Artiodactyla; Bovidae
Also listed under: 4 other names
Rfam family: tRNA
About the family: Transfer RNA (tRNA) molecules are approximately 80 nucleotides in length. Their secondary structure includes four short double-helical elements and three loops (D, anti-codon, and T loops).
Source: Rfam by way of RNAcentral
UCCCUGGUGGCUCAGAUGGUAAAGCGUCUGCCUGCAAUGCAGGAGACCUGGGUUUGAUUCCUGGGUCGGGAA